Molecule: transfer RNA, 67 nt
Filed under: Marmota monax (woodchuck)
Lineage: Eukaryota; Metazoa; Chordata; Mammalia; Rodentia; Sciuridae
Description: tRNA.Ala
Source: RNAcentral
GGUUGUGGCGCAGUAGUAGAGUGCUUGCCUAGCAUGCCCGAGGCACUGGGUUCGAUCCUCAGCACCA